UAAAAAAAUAAUAAGAACAUGAUGUUGGUUCAGAUUAAACGCUAAAUAAGGACAUGACACAUGCAAAUCAAACGUUUAUUAAUCAAAUGAUGAAAUAAAUAUGUGGUGUACACGUGAGUAAUUAUAUGGAAUUAUGAACUAUAAGAUAAGUUAAAUGCUUAAUAAAAAAUAUAUAAAAAUAUAUAGUAAAAAAAUGAAUAAAAAUCCUUUUAUUUGCUUAUAGUCAAGCCAAUAAUGGUUUAGGUAGUAGGUAGAGUAAAAGUUUACCUAGCCAACGAUCCAUAGUCGAUAAUGAAAGUUAUAACGAUCACGUUGACUCUGAAACAUAGUCAAUAUCUAAAUGAUACAGCAGUGAGGAAUAUUGGGCAAUGAUCGAAAGAUUGACCCAGUUACUUAUUAGGAUGAUAUAUAUUUAAUAAAAUAAAUAAUAAAAAAAAUAAAAAUUAUAUAAAUUGAUUAAAAAUAAAAUCCAUAAAUAGUGAAAAUAAUGAUAUAAACUACCAUAAUAAAAAUUAUGGAUAUAAUAUUAAUAUUAUAUUUUAAUAGUCCUAACCAAAAUUUGUGCCAGCAGCUGCGGUAAGACAAUGGGGGCUAGCGUUAAUCAUAAUGGCUUAAAGGGUCCGUAGAAUGAAUAAUAAAAAAGUUAUUUAGAGUUAAUAAAUUUAAUUAAAGAAUUAUAAUAGUAAGGAUGAAAUGAUAAUGAUCAUUAUAAGACUGGUAUAUGUGAAGGUAUUAAUUAAAUAUUAACUGACAUUGAGGGACGAAAGCUAAAGUAGCAAUACGGAUUCGAUACCCGAGUAGUUUUAGCUGUAAACAAUGAACACCAUUUAUAAAAAAUAAAUUAUAAAUAAAUGAAAAUGAAAGUGUUCCGCCUGAAGAGUACGUUCGCAAGAAUGAAACUCAAGACAAUAGACGGUUACAGACUUAAGCAGUGGAGCAUGUUAUUUAAUUCGAUAAUCCUCGACUAACCUUACCAUAUUUUGAAUAAUAUAAUUAAUAAUCUUAAUUAUAAUACAGGCGUUACAUCGUUGUCUUCAGUUCGUGCUGCAAGGUCUUAGAUUAAGUUCAUUAACGAACAUAACUCCAUAUAUAUAAUAAUUAAUUAUAUAUAAUAUUUCUAUCUUUUUGAUAAAAUGAAAGGAAUUAAGACAAAUCAUGAUGAUCCUUAUAAUAUGGGUAAUAGACGUGCUAUAAUAAAAUGAGAACAAAAUUAUAAAUAUAUAUAAAAAAAAUAUAGAAUUAAUAAUAUAAAACAUUUUAAUCUUUAAUAUAUUUAUAUAUUAUAUAUAGUAUGGAUUAUAAUCUGAAAUUCGAUUAUAUGAAAAAAGAAUUGCUAGUAAUACGUAAAUUAGUAUGUUACGGUGAAUACUCUAACUGUUUCGCACUAAUCACUCAUCACGCGUUGAAACAUAAUAUUAUCCUAAUAUGUAUAUUUAUUAAAUUUUAUUAUAUAUUUAUUAAUAUAUUUUAAUUAAUUAUUUAUAUAUAUAAGAAAUAUUACGAAUUAAUGCGAAGUUGAAAUACAGUUACCGUAGGGGAACCUGCGGUGGGCUUAUUAU
RNAcentral lists this non-coding RNA (1559 nucleotides) under Lachancea kluyveri. RNAcentral describes it as "15S ribosomal RNA". It matches the Rfam family "Bacterial small subunit ribosomal RNA". The record is from RNAcentral. Lineage: Eukaryota; Fungi; Ascomycota; Saccharomycetes; Saccharomycetales; Saccharomycetaceae.